AGGGUUGAUGGCGAGAUCAUUCCGAGCUGUCUCUUAUGGCCCAUGAAUUAGGGUUUUGGAGAUCGACAAGACGAUGAAGAGAGGAUUGAUUGGGCCAAGAAGAGGAUGAGUUAGAAGGAAGCCGGAUGAUUCGAAGGUGAUGGCGAACCACGCCGAUUCCAAGCGCACGUUCAGAUAUUUUUCUUGGUCCAAACAGGGACAAGGGUCAGCUUUAUCAUCAUCAUUUAAGGAUGUGCAAAGGCAAAGGUCAUCUGCAGCACUUGCUGUAUUCACUUGUGACAGAUGGGCAAGUCCAGCUUCGCUUUCAAGACACUGAUGGAGCCUAUUCAAGGAUUUCUUUUAGUGCAUCAAAAGUGCUCAGGAGGUAUCUUUGUUUACAGGAAUGAGAAUCUAUCCCUUGGAUUAUACCAAAUGAUCUAGUCAUUCAAUAGCAAGCUUCUAAAACAAAUGAAGAGGACAAAUGCAAGUUAACCAUUCUGUGUUGGUUUGAUUCACUGUGCAUAUACUGCCAGAAACUGAAGGCAGAGGGAUCACAACAGGAUAUAGAGAGAGAGAAAGAGAUUUCACAACAGGAAGGAGAGGACAAGUAGGUGGUUUAUGAGGGUAGGCAAUACCAAGACAAGACGCAUGUGCAUCUAUCUCCCAUGCUCUUCCAGAUGACAUCUCAACUGAGGAGAGAGAGAAUGAGAGAGUGGCAGGAGACAUCAAGAGUUGAUCAGCAACCUCACAUUAAUAUCAGACAUCUCUUUUUGUGAUAUGGAUGGUACCAUGCACUAAUUACUCCCCACCUGUUUGGUUGUUGGUGUACUACAUGAUAACUGAUCCAUGUGGGAGCAAUACCAGACUGCUUCAGCUAGCAGAAAUGACAUGGCCUGGGAAGAAAAAAACCAGCUCUAAGAUGCACAUCCAAGGAAGCUAAGUCAACAUGUUGGGCCAUCCCACCACAUGGUGUCUGUGUGUGGGUUUUCCUGCAUCACAUGUGACUUCCCCUUGUUUUAAGCUGGAGAAGUUGAAGCUUGAGUGGUGUUUUCAGCUCUAGUUCUUUGGACAGUGCAAGAACUCUACCAGUGCUGUAGUGGAGUCAAGGCUGCAGUAACCCCUCCUACUUGGCUGGGAUGUCUGUCAAUGUACCAAGACAAUCUCAGAUGGUUUUAUGUUUAGAAUAUCAAGAACUCAAAAUUUUCAGAAAAUAUGUUGGGUGUGUCCCUUUUUUAAUUUUUUGGAAGAAUGACUUGUAUCAUUUAUUUCCCUUAUUCUUUCUCAUAUAGGAUAUUUUACAUGUAAUCUGUUUGCUCCUUUACAUACUUUGGUUGUUCACUCAGACCAAAAGUUUUACAGUGUCAAGCUUCCUCUAUGGCAUCUCAUACA
Long non-coding RNA from Musa acuminata AAA Group (dessert banana), 1368 nucleotides. RefSeq lists it as uncharacterized. The record is from RefSeq and is a predicted model, not a curated record. The transcript has 4 exons. NCBI's taxonomy places the organism in Eukaryota, Viridiplantae, Streptophyta, Magnoliopsida, Zingiberales, Musaceae.